GCGGAAAUUUCAUUUGCUAAUUUUAAAUUUUGAAAAUUGCUGUUAUCAAAGAAUUGUUAUUCCUGUGUUUAAAAUGUUUGUGUUAUGCAUGCUUCUUAUUAGCCAAAAGUGAUAAUACCAUUCAGUUCAGUCAUCAAUAUGAAAACAGAUUACUAACCCUAUGUUGCUACUGUAUUUUUGUCUAGUUGGUAUGCCUGCCCAGAAGUCCUAAAAACCUCAAAAAAAAUUUUUUGUUGAAAUUUUAUUGCUAAAUAGUAAUGAUACUUUAAAGCAAUUUUCUUACAGAUAAGUAUUUACUCCCAUUAGGAUAAUUUCUCUCAACUUCUGAUUGAUUUUCUUAAGUGCAUUUCAGAAAGCAUGAAUAUAUGGUUAUUAGUAAUUUGCACACUGUAACAGUAAGUUUUCAGAGGAAAUAGUCUGUUUUAACACCUUUCAGGUGUGGUAUCCUAUUUUUUAAUAUUAAAAUUUUGUAUAUAUGCCAAGAAAUUAAAAAUUGUCCUGAAAAUG
RNAcentral lists this long non-coding RNA (507 nucleotides) under Bos taurus (domestic cattle). Its description in RNAcentral is "long non-coding RNA NONBTAT026594". The record is from RNAcentral. Lineage: Eukaryota; Metazoa; Chordata; Mammalia; Artiodactyla; Bovidae.